GAUGAACGCUGGCGGCGUGCCUAAUACAUGCAAGUCGAGCGAACGGACGAGAAGCUUGCUUCUCUGAUGUUAGCGGCGGACGGGUGAGUAACACGUGGAUAACCUACCUAUAAGACUGGGAUAACUUCGGGAAACCGGAGCUAAUACCGGAUAAUAUUUUGAACCGCAUGGUUCAAAAGGGAAAGACGGUCUUGCUGUCACUUAUAGAGGGAUCCGCGCUGCAUUAGCUAGUUGGUAAGGUAACGGCUUACCAAGGCAACGAUGCAUAGCCGACCUGAGAGGGUGAUCGGCCACACUGGAACUGAGACACGGUCCAGACUCCUACGGGAGGCAGCAGUAGGGAAUCUUCCGCAAUGGGCGAAAGCCUGACGGAGCAACGCCGCGUGAGUGAUGAAGGUCUUCGGAUCGUAAAACUCUGUUAUUAGGGAAGAACAUAUGUGUAAGUAACUGUGCACAUCUUGACGGUACCUAAUCAGAAAGCCACGGCUAACUACGUG
This 497-nucleotide ribosomal RNA is filed under the name uncultured bacterium. RNAcentral's name for it is "partial 16S ribosomal RNA". It matches the Rfam family "Bacterial small subunit ribosomal RNA", at positions 28 to 507 of the family's 1533-position model. The record is from RNAcentral.